RNAcentral lists this unclassified non-coding RNA (555 nucleotides) under Hevea brasiliensis (rubber tree). The record is from RNAcentral. Lineage: Eukaryota; Viridiplantae; Streptophyta; Magnoliopsida; Malpighiales; Euphorbiaceae.
CUAUGCCGAGCAUGGUUCGAGCCAGGGCUGCACUUAUGGCAAGAGUGAGCUCAAGUAAGAAGUAGACAUGGAACGCAUAGAGAACUAUAAUGAUUUUUGGGUGGAUAUAGUCACUAUAAUCAUAAACACGUACCAAAAUGGCCACUAAUAUACCCUUUAUUGCAUAAUUUAGAGGGCCUUCUCUUGGUUUUCUUGAUGGGGUUUCUUUGGUUUGGCCAUUUUGAUAUGCUUUUGGAGGUGGGUUUUCUUUGUUUUGAUGAUUUAAAGGCGUUUUGGGUGGCGGGUUCUUAUGGAUCUUGAUGGGUAAGCAAGAAACAGCCACAAAAAGAGGAAGAGAAAUUGAUGGAUCUGCAGAAAGAGGACCUUUGCCAAAAGCAAAGAGGAGGAGCUUGAAAUUUGCAAGCCAAGCAAUGAAAAAGGCAGUAGUGCCACCAAGAUGAGGAGAGAAGAUAUUGAGAGGAAGGUAAAGAAAGAGGCAAACAACAGGGAGAACAAAGAGUAGUCUUUUGAUCCCUAUAGGAAUAAUGUUUCUAAUUGCAUAACAAUGACAUAGAG